GAUGAACGCUAGCUACAGGCUUAACACAUGCAAGUCGAGGGGAAACGACAUCGAAAGCUUGCUUUUGAUGGGCGUCGACCGGCGCACGGGUGAGUAACGCGUAUCCAACCUGCCCGUCACUUGGGGAUAACCUUGCGAAAGUAAGACUAAUACCCGAUAAUAUCUCUAGAAGGCAUCUGAAAGGGAUUAAAGAUUUAUCGGUGAUGGAUGGGGAUGCGUCUGAUUAGCUUGUUGCGGGGUAACGGCCCACCAAGGCAACGAUCAGUAGGGGUUCUGAGAGGAAGGUCCCCCACAUUGGAACUGAGACACGGUCCAAACUCCUACGGGAGGCAGCAGUGAGGAAUAUUGGUCAAUGGGCGAGAGCCUGAACCAGCCAAGUAGCGUGCAGGACGACGGCCCUAUGGGUUGUAAACUGCUUUUAUAAGGGAAUAAAGUGAGUCUCGUGAGACUUUUUGCAUGUACCUUAUGAAUAAGGACCGGCUAAUUCCGUG
This 491-nucleotide ribosomal RNA is filed under the name uncultured bacterium. Its description in RNAcentral is "bacterial SSU rRNA". It matches the Rfam family "Bacterial small subunit ribosomal RNA", at positions 28 to 507 of the family's 1533-position model. The record is from RNAcentral.